RNAcentral lists this transfer RNA (77 nucleotides) under Sinobacterium norvegicum. RNAcentral's name for it is "tRNA-Arg". It matches the Rfam family "tRNA". From Rfam's summary of the family: Transfer RNA (tRNA) molecules are approximately 80 nucleotides in length. Their secondary structure includes four short double-helical elements and three loops (D, anti-codon, and T loops). Lineage: Bacteria; Pseudomonadati; Pseudomonadota; Gammaproteobacteria; Cellvibrionales; Spongiibacteraceae. The record is from RNAcentral.
GCGCCUAUAGCUCAGCUGGAUAGAGCAACGGCCUUCUAAGCCGUAGGUCGCAGGUUCGAAUCCUGCUGGGCGCGCCA